UUCUGUACAUAAUGUAUUUUUUCUAUGCUGAUGAUACUCUGCUAUCUGAUUUCUAUGCUCUUUACAGCAACACUGACCUGCUUUACUCAGCUCAACACUUUCAGAUGAUUCUGCCGCCUUCUUUGCUACUAAUGACAUUGUGCUGGUGCUACCUGCUCAUACCUUCUACUCACUCCAGACUCCAGUUUCUCACACUGGCAUCAAUACAGACACAUUAUGGCUUUCACACAGGUUGUGCUUAUCUGUAAUUUUACAUACAUGAGAAACUGGUUUCUGGAAUAUGAACUUGCUGCAAAUUGAAAACACAGCAGUGCUGCUUACUAAAAAAUUAAUAACUAAAAAAAAAACAAAAAACCAACUAAUAAUUUCUGUUGUCUUUCAUUAUCAUUAGAUAGUGAUCUCUACAUUACAUACUCUGGAUCUCGAGAGUUUGUUGGCAUCCACAAGUUUGGGGAAAACAGACUUGCACCUGCAAGCAGUGAUAAAGAGCAGUACUAUGUGGGCCUGGUGCUCAUCAAACGGAUAGAUGAUCCCCGGCAGAGCAAAGUCUAUGCCUUCUAUAAGGAGAAAAACAGAGAGACAGGCUUGGGCAGUGAAAUGUGGCUCCCUUUUGUGACCCAGGUUUGCAUGAAAGAUCGUGGUGGUCGCAAAAACAACCUGCAGUUUAGCUGGACGUCUCAGAUGAAUGCCAGGCUCUACUGUGGAGACCCUGACAGCAGACAGCAUUUCUCUGAGCUGGUGGAUGUGGCUACUGUGCAUGCACACCUUUGGCAGGAUACCAGGAUUUAUGCACUCUUCAGAAAUGAAUGGGGUAUGAGUGCUGUGUGUGUCUACAUGAUACAAGACAUUGAAAACAUUUUCAUGACUUCCCCAUUUAAAGGCAAUGAGAA
This is a non-coding RNA of Epinephelus lanceolatus (giant grouper), 890 nucleotides long. The record is from RefSeq and is a predicted model, not a curated record. Lineage: Eukaryota; Metazoa; Chordata; Actinopteri; Perciformes; Serranidae.